This is an RNA transcript of Mastomys coucha (southern multimammate mouse), 1379 nucleotides long. It is a transcript of the gene named CMT1A duplicated region transcript 4, with no coding region annotated. The record is from RefSeq and is a predicted model, not a curated record. Lineage: Eukaryota; Metazoa; Chordata; Mammalia; Rodentia; Muridae. The transcript is spliced from 5 exons.
GUUCAGGGGGCUGCAGGAUACCAAAAAUGAUCUCUGGGUCAGGAAGCAACAUCUUUAGGCCAGGAAGUAGCCAAGACGUCCAGCAAAAGACAUGGAACCCCAGGAAUUACUCAGAUUUCUGGCUCCACACUGCAGCUCCAGCAGGACAGAAACAGGUUUACGGUCGUUGGCAGAGGCGCGAACGCAGGGUCGGUUUGGACACCUUCUAGAAUUUGGACACAUCUAGAAUUUCCACUCCGUGGACAGAAAAGCCGCAGCGUCCCUGCAGGCGCAAUGCCAGGGAGAUUGACAGAAAACAUUGGACUCCCUCUGACACUGAUUGAAAAACACAGCCCUUGGCCAGCCUAUGUCACAUAUAUCUCUCCAGCAGUAAUCCGACUCACUGAAAAAAGCUGGGCCAGGAAUCUGGAAUGCAUAUAUGCUGCUGAGAAAAACCGCAAACCAAUGCGGCCGAGCAAACCUAGUGACAUGAAGCUAAAGAGGAGGAAGUCAUCCAAGCCCUCAGAACUCAUGCUGAAUGAUGGUGUGUCAGAGACCUUGCUAUCUGGGUGGGAAUGCUCCACCACAAAUGUGAGUCCCAUAUUUGUCCCAGAACCUGCACAUCUCCAAAUGGAAGCCAGAGAGGGGCCCACAUCAACCUACAACAAGAUCAUUUUCUCCAGGAGGCCUGAGAUGAAGAAACUCCCAUUUGGCUUACUACAGGCCAGCAAGGAGACACAUACUAAAGCUUAGGAAAGAGCCCUGUAGCCACGGCCUGAGAAUGUACAACAAUUACUCUCCAUUUGCUACAAAUUACAUCAGGUCCUUGAAAGUUGAAGUUCUUAUCAGAACGGAGAUCUUAUCAGAAAGUGAGCUGGGGGUAUUUGGAUAGACAACCCAACACUGGAGUCUGUUGGAGUGGGAUAGCUAUGGAUUCUGAAAGCCAAACUGUAGGCAUGGUUGUCCACGUCCAGACAGCAGACAGAAACCACAGCAGUGACUUUACCAGCCAUAAUUUAAUAGACUCGUUAACCAGGCAACUAAAGAGGGCAGAAAGUUGUUUUUUUCCUAGCUGCCUUCAGUAUAAGAGAUAGAACUCUCAUCUCUCCAACAACAUGCCUACCUUGGAUGCUGCCAUUUUUCCUGCCAUAAUGAUAAUGGACUGAACCUCUGAACCGAAAUAAGCAUGGAGCCUUUCCAGGAUCCUGACAUCCAUCUGGAGCCAUCAGAGUGUGCAUGAAGUGGAAUGUGGAUUAUUUCUACGUAACCUCAUCGACUUGUUCAAACCAGGGAGGCCUGGAGUGUCUCAGGUUACUCUGAGCACAGUGAACGCUCAUCUUGAAGAAGAAGCUGGCUUUCUUUGAUGUCUCACAGUCCAUAGACACCUCUUAUUUAUCUCC